This 872-nucleotide long non-coding RNA is filed under the name Volvox carteri. RNAcentral's name for it is "long non-coding RNA (VCAR_LNC003406)". The record is from RNAcentral. Lineage: Eukaryota; Viridiplantae; Chlorophyta; Chlorophyceae; Chlamydomonadales; Volvocaceae.
UAUUGCGAUUAUCACAGGGUUCGCAAGGGGCAAGACUUGGAUAGCAGGAGCACUGGUUGGCACGGUGUUGCGCCGGGUAAACUUCUUGGGAGCCAUCUCUUUGUUGAAUUUUUUUAAAGGAUUUCUCCUGAGGGAUCCAGGCAAACGUGUUUGUGAGACCAACAUGGCUUGUCACAUCACCGGUCCCCACGACCGGUCCCCAGCAAGCCGACUGCUGGGCAAGUCGCACCCAACCCCCGAUGCCGUCAAGGGAAACUUUCCCUGUACGGGAAUUUUCCCCGGGGCCUGGACGAGUUUGCCGGGAGCGCGUAUCUCGCUUGUCUGAGGCGUGCUGCUAGUAGCUCAUAGUACAUAGGUGCUGCCUUGCUCAAGCUUUGGCUUUAAUGGCCGCGACCGGCCGGUGCCCCGAUUGGCACAAGGUUGGGACGCUGGAGGCCAGCUCUCGACGCUAGGAUUGCUCUCAUAUUCAUAUUUGUAUAUUCGUUAAAGGAGGGAAAGCUCAAAGGACGCUCAAGCUGCGCGCCAGGAUUCGCGGCUGCAGUUGCAGGAGAGAGGCACAGGCACAGCUGGGCAAAGGCGCCACAGGAUAGCACGUAAUCUUACACGAUAGCUCAGAAGAUACCUGCCCCGAACGAACGGGAACACAUGUCGUGGAUUUUGCAGGGUCAUUACCGGUAGCCACAGCUGGCCACAGCGCACAGAACAAGCGCGGAUGUCUGGAUCUACCUUUUCAACGCAUAAUAUCAUGUCAAUGGUGACGUUAGAACUUGAGCGGUGGACUUUGCUGCAGUGUACCUCCACUGCACUUUAACUUUUACCGGGCGCGUCCGAUCGCCUCGGCAUAGAGCUAGAUGAUAAGCGUUGCACGCGAC